RNAcentral lists this ribosomal RNA (443 nucleotides) under uncultured bacterium. Its description in RNAcentral is "bacterial SSU rRNA". It matches the Rfam family "Bacterial small subunit ribosomal RNA", at positions 338 to 795 of the family's 1533-position model. The record is from RNAcentral.
CCUACGGGAGGCAGCAGUGGGGAAUAUUGCACAGUGGGGGAAACCCUGAUGCAGCGACGCCGCGUGAAGGAAGAAGGUCUUCGGAUCGUAAACUUCUAUCAGCAGGGAAGAAGGAAGUGACGGUACCUGACUAAGAAGCCCCGGCUAACUACGUGCCAGCAGCCGCGGUAAUACGUAGGGGGGAACCGUUAUCCGUAAUCACUGGGUGUAAAGGGUGCGUAGGCGGUAGGGCAAGUCAUAUGUGAAAGCGCGGGGCUCAACCCCGGUAUUGCAUUUGAAACUGUCUUACUAGAGUGCAGGAUCGGAAAGCGGAAUUUCUAGUGUAGCGGUGAAAUGCGUAGAUAUUAGGAAGAACACCAGUGGCGAAGGCGGCUUUCUGGACUGUAACUGACGCUGAGGCACGAAAGCGUGGGGAGCGAACAGGAUUAGAUACCCCGGUAGUC